This 506-nucleotide ribosomal RNA is filed under the name uncultured bacterium. RNAcentral's name for it is "partial 16S ribosomal RNA". It matches the Rfam family "Bacterial small subunit ribosomal RNA", at positions 28 to 523 of the family's 1533-position model. The record is from RNAcentral.
GAUGAACGCUAGCUACAGGCUUAACACAUGCAAGUCGAGGGGUAACGAGAGGAAAGCUUGCUUUCCUUGUCGACGACCGGCGCACGGGUGAGUAACGCGUAUCCAACCUGCCCCCAACUAGGGAAUAACCUUGCGAAAGUAAGACUAAUACCCUAUAAUUUCCUCAGAUGUCAUCUGACGAGGACUAAAGAUGUAUCGGUGGUGGAUGGUGAUGCGUCGGAUUAGCUAGUUGGCGGGGUAACGGCCCACCAAGGCAACGAUCAGUAGGGGUUCUGAGAGGGAGGCCCCCCAGAUUGGAACUAAGGCACGGUCCAAACUCCUGCGGGAGGCAGCAGUGAUGAAUAUUGUUCAAUGGGCGGAAGCCUGAACCAGCCAAGUAGCGUGCAGGAGGACGGCCCUAUGGGUUGUAAACUGCUUUUAUACAGGAAUAAAGUUAGCCACGUGUGGUUAUUUGUAGGUACUGUAUGAAUAAGGACCGGCUAAUUCCGUACCAGCCGCCGCAGUAA